GGCCGGGAGCGGCGGGCCCGGGGACCCGCCCGGCGCGGCCGAGAGCCCCCGGGGCGCGGCUCCGCGGCCGAAAUCCCUGCCCGGGAACCCCGUAGUGGUGUCCCGGCGCUGAGGCCGCGGGUGCUGUGUGUCACCUGCUGCCCGCCCUGGGCACGGAGCGGGCCCGCUGGCCCUCCCUGCAGAGGCACCACCACCAGGGAGCCUUUAAAGCCUUUUGUUUAAAGUCCUUUUUAUUCUUAACGGGUAACUGUGAAACAGCGUGCUGAAUCCACAAAUUAUAUUAAUCACGUAGAGUUACAAACCCAGAAAAAUAGUAUCCAGAAGUAGUUAGCUACAAGAUUAAUCACAGAAUCACAUCACAGAAUCAAUUAGACCUCUGAGAUACCGAAUCCAACCUGUAGCCGACCACCACCGUGUCAACUAGACCAUGGCACUGAGUGUCACGUCCAGUCUUUCCUUAAAAACAUUCAGGGCUGGUAACUCCACCACCCCUCUGGGCAGCCCAUUCCAUUAACCUUUCUGUGAAGAAAUUCCUCCUAAUGUCCAACCUAAAUCUCCCCAGGUGCAGCUUAAGACUGUUGUCCUGUCGUAGGCUGCCUGGCAGGAGAGACCAAGCCCCAUCUGUCUACAGUCUUCUUUCAAAGCAAUUGUAGAGAGCAUAAGGUCACCUCUGUCUUUUUUUCUCCAGGCCAAGCAACCCCAGCUUCCUCUGCUGUUCCUCAUCAGACUUGAGCUCCAAACCCUUCCCAAAUUCCACUGUCCUUCUCUGGACAUGCUCCAGCCCCUCAACAUCCUUCCUGAAUUGAAGGGCCUAGAACUGGGCACAAGACUCCAGGUGUGGCCUCACCAGUGCUGAGGACAGGGGAAGAUGUUUGGCUGCAUCAGUCACUAGCUUUAUUGCAUGAAUUAAUGUGGAUUUGCACAAUGCCAUGGCAUCAAUGGUUUCACAUGAUUCCACAAUUAAAUGAAAAGAUUUACAAGUAACUGCCAUGUGAGUAAUCUAAUGUGAUACCAUGAUUAUUUCCAUAACUUUCAAUAAAGAUUUUUUCAGGGCGAACUUCCAGUAUCCCUGUUUUGAACAGCUAUAGCUCUGCACAGACACCCUGAGCAAAGCAGAAGCAUUCACUGGAAAUGUGCAUCAGAAGACACACAGCAAUCUGCAGGACAUGCAACUGCCACAAGACAGCCAGUAAAAUCCCUGCUCUUUCAAAUCUCUUGCAUCUCUCACCUUUGCUUGUGGCUGCUGCAGUGGUUUCAGUUACCUCAUUCCAUGAAGGAGCUUACUGGAUUGAUUUUUAGUCUCUUCAGUGAGACCAAUGCCUUGUGUUCUGUUCAAGCUAUUAUAUUGUCUAUCCACUGUGGAAUAAUUGGAAGAAGGUAGUAGUGAUGCUUCCACCUAAGUGCCUUCAAAUGUAUUUGUUCAUAUGUGCUAAGUGCCUUGCUAAAUUAUGCCCUUACAUACACAUGAACAACUUUCCUGGGUUUACGGGGAAGGAAAAAAAAAAAAAAAAAGGAACAUCAAUAUGUCAUCCAAAUAUUUUCCUGACAUUAGUUUUGCAAUUGAAGGCCAACCAUUUCAGACUGGCACUUAGAGAAAGUUGAAACAUCAUCUUUUUAAAUAAAUUUGCUGUAGAAAAAAGAACAGUGGUUUUACUGUGUCAUUUUAUAUGAUGAGAAUUUUGUGAUUUUGUAGUGGGCUGAAAAGCUGAAAAGGCUAAUGAAUUACUCCAAAGAACUAUAUAAAGUCUUUCUU
Long non-coding RNA from Taeniopygia guttata (zebra finch), 1753 nucleotides. RefSeq lists it as uncharacterized. The record is from RefSeq and is a predicted model, not a curated record. NCBI's taxonomy places the organism in Eukaryota, Metazoa, Chordata, Aves, Passeriformes, Estrildidae.